RNAcentral lists this ribosomal RNA (405 nucleotides) under uncultured bacterium. RNAcentral's name for it is "partial 16S ribosomal RNA". It matches the Rfam family "Bacterial small subunit ribosomal RNA", at positions 30 to 526 of the family's 1533-position model. The record is from RNAcentral.
AUUGAACGCUGCGGCAGGCUUAACACAUGCAAGUCGAGCGAGCGGCGGACGGGUGAGUAAUGCUUAGGAAUCUGCCUAUUAGUGGGGGACAACAUCUCGAAAGGGAUGCUAAUACCGCAUACUAAUAGAUGGGCCUAAGUCGGCGUCGCUAGUUGGUGGGGUAAAGGCCUACCAAGGCGACGAUCUGUAGCGGGUCUGAGAGGAUGAUCCGCCACACUGGGACUGUGACACGGCCCAGACUCCUACGGGAGGCAGCAGUGGGGAAUAUUGGACAUUGGGCGCAAGCCUGAUGCAGCCAUGCCGCGUGUGUGAAGAAGGCCUUCGGGUUGUAAAGCACUUUCAGCGGGGAGGCGUUACCCGCAGAAGAAGCACCGGCUAACGCCGUGCCAGCAGCCGCGGUAAUUC